This 374-nucleotide ribosomal RNA is filed under the name uncultured organism. RNAcentral's name for it is "bacterial SSU rRNA". It matches the Rfam family "Bacterial small subunit ribosomal RNA", at positions 526 to 896 of the family's 1533-position model. The record is from RNAcentral.
CGGGGGGAGCAAGCGUUGUUCGGAUUUACUGGGCGUAAAGGGCGCGUAGGCGGCCACCGCAAGUCGACUGUGAAAUCUCCGGGCUUAACCCGGAAAGGUCAGCCGAUACUGCGGGGCUAGAGUGCAGAAGGGGCAACUGGAAUCCUCGGUGUAGCGGUGAAAUGCGUAGAUAUCGAGAGGAACACCUGCGGCGAAGGCGGGUUGCUGGGCUGACACUGACGCUGAGGCGCGAAAGCUAGGGGAGCGAACGGGAUUAGAUACCCCGGUAGUCCUAGCCUUAAACGAUGAAUGCUUGGUGUCUGGGGUUUUAUAGUCCCCGGGUGCCGUCGCUAACGCUUUAAGCAUUCCGCCUGGGGAGUACGGUCGCAAGACUG